Molecule: transfer RNA, 71 nt
Filed under: Bacteroides caccae
Lineage: Bacteria; Pseudomonadati; Bacteroidota; Bacteroidia; Bacteroidales; Bacteroidaceae
Description: tRNA-OTHER
Rfam family: tRNA
About the family: Transfer RNA (tRNA) molecules are approximately 80 nucleotides in length. Their secondary structure includes four short double-helical elements and three loops (D, anti-codon, and T loops). Further hydrogen bonds mediate the characteristic L-shaped molecular structure. tRNAs have two regions of fundamental functional importance: the anti-codon, which is responsible for specific mRNA codon recognition, and the 3' end, to which the tRNAs corresponding amino acid is attached (by aminoacyl-tRNA synthetases). tRNAs cope with the degeneracy of the genetic code in two manners: having more than one tRNA (with a specific anti-codon) for a particular amino acid; and 'wobble' base-pairing, i.e. permitting non-standard base-pairing at the 3rd anti-codon position.
Source: RNAcentral
UUCUAUAUAGCUCAGUCGGCAGAGCGCAUUGUAUAAUGAGGUCGGCGGUUCGAGUCCGCCUAUAGAAACAA